CGCGUGGAGUGAUGAAGGCUUUCGGGUCGUAAAACUCUGUCGUUAGGCAAGAACAACGUACGAGAGUAACUGCUCGUACCUUGACGGUACCUAACCAGAAAGCCACGGCUAACUACGUGCCAGCAGCCGCGGUAAUACGUAGGUGGCAAGCGUUAUCCGGGAAUUAUUGGGCGUAAA
This 177-nucleotide ribosomal RNA is filed under the name Priestia megaterium. Its description in RNAcentral is "Bacillus megaterium partial 16S ribosomal RNA". It matches the Rfam family "Bacterial small subunit ribosomal RNA", at positions 398 to 564 of the family's 1533-position model. Lineage: Bacteria; Bacillati; Bacillota; Bacilli; Caryophanales; Bacillaceae. The record is from RNAcentral.